CCGAAUUACCCGAAAAUUACCCGAAUUACCCGAAUUAAAUCACUACAUAAUUAUAAACAUUACAUAAAACUUUGAAUCACUACAUAACAAAUACAUGGAAUUGUCGACACUUGAUUCCAUCACUAAAAUACACAAUAGACAAACAAUGCGUCUAUGCCGGUGCAAUCUUCCGCAGUGAUCUGAUGGCCUGCUUUUAUGACCAAAGGGAAAUAAUUCAAACAAAAAUAAGAUUGCAUACAUAUACAUGCAUACAUAUACAUAUAUAAUCAUAAAAUAGUAGAUACAUAUAGGUGAAUGUACUAAAUUUUAAUUUAGUACUUAAAAUUUUUUAUUGAACAAUUAUUUCGUUUUAACUUACUUUAAAAAAUAAAACACUUAACACAUUUUUAUUGAAUGCGAAUAAUUUUUAAACAAAUAAUAAUUCAAAUACCAAAAUUAAAUUUUUUUAAAAAAACUACUACAAUCGUGAGUUAAAAGAAUAUCUAACUCAAAAAAUCUUAUCACUUUAGUAGUUAUAACUGUAGUGCUACCAUGGCCAUUUUGCACCAACUGCUGGGAUGUGUAGCCCACAACCAUGUUCCCUCACUUGCUAAAAAAAUUUAAAUUUAAACGGAUUCAAACUCGAGCUCAAAACUUUAAAUUGUUUUGAGGAGACAACUCUUUUAUUAAAAAAAAUUGAAGUGUCGUUUUUACAUAGACCUUCAACGAAGGUAUUGCUCUUGGAAUGUUUAUGUUUGGUUUAGGCUUUAGGUUUUUGUUCCAAAAGGAUUCAUAGAGAUUAGGCGCUUUCGCGAAACUCCAUAAGCUCCUUUGAUAAGGAGACAGGCAUCCUGAGCGCAAUACUUGUUCAAGAAUCUGAUCAAUUGCUUAACCGACAACACUUUAAAAUUUUCUCUUGAAAAAGAAAUGACGCUUAACAAGUUCAAUCUAUUUCCAACUCAAUAUAUUAAAUUCAUAAGACAAAAAAUUAUUAAAAAAAGAGAGAGUAGAAAAUAUAAAUUAGUGCCAAAUCCAAUUUUGUUUUUACAGUGACCAAAAUUUAUUACCCUGAAACCCCAAAUUAUUGAAAAGUAGAAAAACCAAAGGGUUUUUCAUUACACUGAUGAAAUAAUUAUUUGGCAUUUUUAUUUUUAUCCUCGACGAAAUCCGGAUCAUUUUCUUGAGAAAAUCGAAUACUAUAUUAGUCAACUACAGAUUCAAUAAUUAGAAAAAAAAACCAAUACUAUAUCAGUCAACUACAGACCCAUUCAAGAAAUUGGAAAAGAAAACCAAAAGGGAAAUUAGAAGAAAGUAAACCUGGCCCUGGGUUUGGGUAUUAAUGUGGUGGUCCGACACUCUGACUCGGGGACUCCGGCGAAAGAGAAAUAGUGUGUGAGUGAAAGUUUAAGUGUGUGAUUUAGGGUUUCGACUGAGAUUGAGAUUUGAGAAUACUAGGGUUGGGUGUUA
This 1446-nucleotide long non-coding RNA is filed under the name Gossypium barbadense (sea-island cotton). RNAcentral's name for it is "long non-coding RNA (GBAR_LNC013747)". Lineage: Eukaryota; Viridiplantae; Streptophyta; Magnoliopsida; Malvales; Malvaceae. The record is from RNAcentral.